Non-coding RNA from Phthorimaea operculella (potato tuberworm), 72 nucleotides. The record is from the annotation of a GenBank genome assembly. NCBI's taxonomy places the organism in Eukaryota, Metazoa, Arthropoda, Insecta, Lepidoptera, Gelechiidae.
GCAUCGAUAGCUCAGUGGCAGAGCGGUAGGGCGUUUACCCAUGCGGCCCGGGUUCGAUCCCCGGUCGAUGCA